This 2904-nucleotide ribosomal RNA is filed under the name Zoogloeaceae bacterium. RNAcentral describes it as "23S ribosomal RNA". It matches the Rfam family "Bacterial large subunit ribosomal RNA". Lineage: Bacteria; Pseudomonadati; Pseudomonadota; Betaproteobacteria; Rhodocyclales; Zoogloeaceae. The record is from RNAcentral.
GUUAUAGGAUCAAGCGAAUAAGUGCAUGUGGUGGAUGCCUUGGCGAUCACAGGCGAUGAAGGACGUGUAAGCCUGCGAAAAGCUUCGGGGAGCUGGCAAUAAAGCUUUGAUCCGAAGAUGUCCGAAUGGGGAAACCCACUCCGCAAGGAGUAUCCCGUACUGAAUACAUAGGUACGAGGAAGCGAACCCGGUGAACUGAAACAUCUAAGUAGCCGGAGGAAAAGAAAUCAACCGAGAUUCCCAAAGUAGUGGCGAGCGAAAUGGGAACAGCCUGCAAGUGAUAACCGAUUUGUUAGUGGAACGCUCUGGAAAGUGCGACCGUAGUGGGUGAUAGUCCCGUACGCGAAAACAAAACGGUGGUACUAAGUUUGCGACAAGUAGGGCGGGGCACGUGAAACCCUGUCUGAACAUGGGGGGACCAUCCUCCAAGGCUAAAUACUCGUGAUCGACCGAUAGUGAACCAGUACCGUGAGGGAAAGGCGAAAAGAACCCCGGGAGGGGAGUGAAAUAGAUCCUGAAACCGCAUGCAUACAAACAGUGGGAGCCCCUUCGGGGGUGACUGCGUACCUUUUGUAUAAUGGGUCAGCGACUUACGUUCAGUAGCGAGCUUAACCGAAUAGGGGAGGCGUAGGGAAACCGAGUCUGAUAAGGGCGAUUAGUUGCUGGGCGUAGACCCGAAACCGGAUGAUCUAUCCAUGGCCAGGAUGAAGGUGCCGUAACAGGUACUGGAGGUCCGAACCCACUAACGUUGAAAAGUUAGGGGAUGAGCUGUGGAUAGGGGUGAAAGGCUAAACAAAUCCGGAAAUAGCUGGUUCUCUCCGAAAACUAUUUAGGUAGUGCCUCAAGUAUCACCUGCGGGGGUAAAGCACUGUAAUGGUUGAAGGGGUCAUCGCGACUUACUUCGCCAUAGCAAACUCUGAAUACCGCAGAGUGCGAGCUUGGGAGACAGACAUCGGGUGCUAACGUCCGGUGUCAAGAGGGAAACAACCCAGACCGCCGAUUAAGGUCCCAAAGCCAUAGUUAAGUGGGAAACGAGGUGGGAAGGCUUAGACAGCCAGGAGGUUGGCUUAGAAGCAGCCAUCCUUUAAAGAAAGCGUAAUAGCUCACUGGUCGAGUCGUCCUGCGCGGAAGAUGUAACGGGGCUCAAACUAUGCACCGAAAUCGCGGAUAUGUACUUGUACAUAUGGUAGGAGAGCGUUCUGUAGGCCGUUGAAGGUGUCUUGAGAAGGAUGCUGGAGGUAUCAGAAGUGCGAAUGCUGACAUGAGUAGCGAUAAAGGGAGUGAAAUGCUCCCUCGCCGAAAGCCCAAGGUUUCCUGCGCAACGUUCAUCGGCGCAGGGUGAGUCGGCCCCUAAGGCGAGGCUGAAAAGCGUAGUCGAUGGGAAACAGGUCAAUAUUCCUGUACCUCUUUGUAAUGCGAUGGGGGGACGGAGAAGGUUAGGUCAUCCGGGUGUUGGACGUCCCGGUUCAAGCGUGUAGGGAGGUCUUCCAGGCAAAUCCGGGAGAUCAAUUCUGAGGCGUGAUAACGAGUGGUCUUUGACCGCGAAGUGAUUGAUACCAUGCUUCCAAGAAAAGCCUCUAAGCUUCAGUUACAAGGAGACCGUACCGCAAACCGACACAGGUGGGCAGGAUGAGAAUUCUAAGGCGCUUGAGAGAACUCAGGAGAAGGAACUCGGCAAAUUUGCACCGUAACUUCGGGAUAAGGUGCGCCCCGAUAGGUUGAAGCCCCUCGCGGGUGGAGGCUGAAGGGGUUGCAGUGAAAUGGUGGCUGCGACUGUUUAAUAAAAACAUAGCACUCUGCAAACACGAAAGUGGACGUAUAGGGUGUGACGCCUGCCCGGUGCCGGAAGGUUAAGUGAUGGGGUGCAAGCUCUUGAUCGAAGCCCCGGUAAACGGCGGCCGUAACUAUAACGGUCCUAAGGUAGCGAAAUUCCUUGUCGGGUAAGUUCCGACCUGCACGAAUGGCGUAACGAUGGCCACACUGUCUCCUCCUGAGACUCAGCGAAGUUGAAGUGAUUGUGAAGAUGCAAUCUCCCCGCGGUUAGACGGAAAGACCCCAUGAACCUUUACUGUAGCUUUGCAUUGGACUUUGAACCGAUUUGUGUAGGAUAGGUGGGAGGCUGUGAAACUGGGACGCUAGUUCUGGUGGAGCCAACCUUGAAAUACCACCCUGGUUUGUUUGAGGUUCUAACCAUGGCCCGUGAAUCCGGGUCUGGGACCGUGCAUGGUAGGCAGUUUGACUGGGGCGGUCUCCUCCUAAAGUGUAACGGAGGAGUACGAAGGUACGCUAGGUACGGUCGGACAUCGUGCUGAUAGUGCAAUGGCAUAAGCGUGCUUGACUGCGAGACUCACACGUCGAGCAGGUACGAAAGUAGGUCAUAGUGAUCCGGUGGUUCUGUAUGGAAGGGCCAUCGCUCAACGGAUAAAAGGUACUCUGGGGAUAACAGGCUGAUACCGCCCAAGAGUUCAUAUCGACGGCGGUGUUUGGCACCUCGAUGUCGGCUCAUCUCAUCCUGGGGCUGUAGCCGGUCCCAAGGGUAUGGCUGUUCGCCAUUUAAAGAGGUACGUGAGCUGGGUUUAAAACGUCGUGAGACAGUUUGGUCCCUAUCUGCCGUGGGCGCUGGAAAUUUGAGGGGGCCUGCUCCUAGUACGAGAGGACCGGAGUGGACGAACCUCUGGUGUACCGGUUAUGACGCCAGUCGUAUCGCCGGGUAGCUAAGUUCGGAAGAGAUAAACGCUGAAAGCAUCUAAGCGUGAAACUCGCCUCAAGAUAAGAUUUCCCUCGGGACUUGAUCCCGCUAAAGGGUCGUUGAAGACCACAACGUUGAUAGGCUGGGUGUGGAAGCGCAGUAAUGCGUUAAGCUAACCAGUACUAAUUGCCCGUGCGGCUUGAUCCUAUAACCUU